This 1623-nucleotide long non-coding RNA is filed under the name Mus musculus (house mouse). RNAcentral describes it as "long non-coding RNA chr16:25884070-25885693". Lineage: Eukaryota; Metazoa; Chordata; Mammalia; Rodentia; Muridae. The record is from RNAcentral.
UUUUUGCUCCUUAACCAGUAAACAAAAUUUAUUUCACACAUUUUAUUAGUCCUAAGUCUUGGGAGGGGUGGCAGAGUGGAGGGGAAAAGUGUCGGUGAAGGUUUGAAGCUAGUGGUAUUGACAAAUGCCUAAAGUGUUGGUGAUAUUGGUGAAGUCAGGUGUACUAUACCCCGGAGUUCGAAUCCUGAAUUGUACUUUUUCUUGCUGAGCAUAAAGCUCCCAGAAUAAUACUGUAGCAAGCCCGCCUGUCUCCAGAUAGAUCUUACACACAGAUGUUUCUUCAUAUCCCUCUCAGUAUAAGCUGUUGGGCAUCUCACUGUACCAGGAAGUCGCCAUGCCUGUAGAUCCAAUCUCUAUGCUAUAGGAGAUAGGUAUAGUGAGAGAAACCAAAAUACGACUCAUUCUGACCAGAAGAAGGCGAAACAUAGCAACUAAGUAGAAAAGAACAAUUAGAAGAAGGGUGGGAAGAGUGUCCUAGGAGAGUAAGGGUUCAGAAACCUGUAAUUAUUUUGGAGUUCUGAUUCUAUUCUGCUUGAUUAGGUAUAGAAUGCAUGAAGGGAUAUAGAGAAAUUAAUUCACUCCUCCCCGCAAACAACCACCACUACCACCAACACCAACACCAACAGUACCAACAACAAAACCCCACAGGUUUUUGGUAAUAGUCAACAGGGUAAAGUAGUACAUCAGGAUGCUGCUGGUGAUAAUUAGUAACCCUUUCUAUCCCUCCUGCUUCUGUUCAGUUCCUAUGAUGGGCACUCACAUGCCAAUGGCUGGAGACAUGAAUGGACUCAGCCCUACCCAAGCUCUCCCUCCUCCACUCUCCAUGCCCUCCACCUCCCACUGCACCCCACCACCGCCCUACCCCACAGACUGCAGCAUUGUCAGGUGAGUGCACAGCACGUGCCCCCGGGGUCGGUCCUAAGUCUCUGUGGGUGGAGAGUAGACAACUGGCAAGAUCGAUGCAAUAGUUGAGAAGAGAGAAUGCUGUCUUGUGGUUGAAGGAAGACGAGUCUGAUUGGUAGGGUGGUCAGCAGAGCUCUAUCAAAAACUACAACCACUGUGGGGAAAGUGGAAGCAUACGCACACAGGUUUCAGACCUGUUUCUUUGUCUUCAGUUAUUCCCUUCUCUUGCCUCCUGUUCUUACAGGGCUAUUGUGGCUCCUGAAUUGGUGCUCAGGGCUGGGCUUCCCAGAGGGAUAUAAACUGGCUCUGCUGCUCCCUUUUCUGCUCUCUGGGCCUCGAAGCUCUUGGCCACCAUGGGACCAUACUUUUGGAGUUGGAUGUCUAUAAAAAGUUUUAAUAUUAGCAAAAAAAUAAAUGUGAAAUUUAAAGAAGCCUCUGCUACUCUGCUAUGAAAUGGGGACACUCUGGAAAAGGGGCUGUCAUAUGGAUAGAAGCUAACCAGGACUAAAAGGUGUUUCUUACAGAGGCACAUGUAGCCCCACAGUUUAUGUUUAGUGUAUGUCUCCUGGUUCAAGGGAAGCAUGCUUUAUCCCUUUGGCUGCUGGUAGAGUACGUUUUGCCCAUGUGCAACUUUAGCCCCCAGAGACUGUGUAGUACCUGGUUUAGCUCUACAGAAAUUGGCCCUGGGAUGGUAGUGACAUCCAGUCACAGGCCAGCAUU